CUUCCUCCUGCCUACCUCAUACAUUUUACAUCCCAAAUUACUGCCUACUGGGAAAGAAGGUUUUGGGUUUGUUUUAACUUGUUUGUUUGCUUUUUUGUUUGUUUGUUUGUUUUUCUUUAUCUUUUUCCUUGAUUCAUCACCGGCUGAGAUACAUACUAUAUAAACAAGAAAUGUGGCAAAAGGUGGUAUAUCAAGAAACGGGAUGCCAAAAAUUUCACACAAUCCGUGAACACAUUUAAGCAUACUUAAAAAAGAAAUGUCCAUCUCAUCAACAAAAAAUAAGUAUGUAAGGAACACCCAGCUCGUUUCCCAAGAGUGUCAAGUAGCUGAAGUUUUCCUGCAGAAGUUAUCCACUGGGAUAUAGGAGGUAAUAUGGCUGUGGUCCGUGCUGGGUGAAACUGAAAACAUCUGACUGAGCCAAAGAGAAGAGACUAAAGAUAAAUGUUGCUGAAAUAAACACAGUCAAUUGUUAAGACAGUCAUGACAUUAAGACAAAGGAAGAAAAGUUUUCAGAGUGACUCAUCUUUUGGUUCUUCAGAGUGAUCAUAUCUUCCUUGGAAACAGAAAAUACAUGGAGAUGUGUGAACUAUGCAUGCCUCUGUGUUUAUGACUCGAAGAUAAGC
This 623-nucleotide long non-coding RNA is filed under the name Homo sapiens (human). Its description in RNAcentral is "HSALNT0244178". Lineage: Eukaryota; Metazoa; Chordata; Mammalia; Primates; Hominidae. The record is from RNAcentral.